RNAcentral lists this long non-coding RNA (392 nucleotides) under Linum usitatissimum (flax). RNAcentral's name for it is "long non-coding RNA (LUSI_LNC002618)". Lineage: Eukaryota; Viridiplantae; Streptophyta; Magnoliopsida; Malpighiales; Linaceae. The record is from RNAcentral.
GUAUUGGAAGCAGCAUACGCUGUUAAUGGAGAUCAAUUGAUAUUGAGUUACCUGAGUGAUGUUAAGCAUGUGUUGCAGAUAAGAGACUUGAAGACAGGAUCAUUUCUGCAUCAGCUGCCAAUUGGCAUCGGCUCUGUUACUCGAGUGUCUGCAAGAAGACAAGACAGCAUAGCAUUUAUUGGCUUUACUAACUUUCUUUCCCCUGGCAUCAUCUACCAAUGCGAUUUUGGAUCUGGGAAUCCGGAAAUGAAGAUAUUUCGGGAGAUCAGUGUACCUGGAUUUGAUCGCUCAGAAUUCGAAGUGAAUCAGGUGACUUUCUCCUUUUCUUUGAGUGUGGAUUGUAACUCGUUUUUGAACUCCAACCUGUUGCUUAAAUUAGAAACCGAGGCAUA